Molecule: ribosomal RNA, 253 nt
Filed under: uncultured bacterium
Lineage: Bacteria
Description: partial 16S ribosomal RNA
Rfam family: Bacterial small subunit ribosomal RNA
Source: RNAcentral
UACGUAGGGGGCAAGCGUUGUCCGGAUUUAUUGGGCGUAAAGAGCGUGUAGGCGGCCACGCAGGUCCGUUGUGAAAACUGGAGGCUCAACCUCCAGCUGUCGACGGAAACCGUAUGGCUAGAGUCCGGAAGAGGAGUGUGGAAUUCCUGGUGUAGCGGUGAAAUGCGCAGAUAUCAGGAGGAACACCAAUGGCGAAGGCAGCACUCUGGGACGUGACUGACGCUGAGACGCGAAAGCGUGGGGAGCAAACAGG